GAUUUAACGACAUUGGAC
This 18-nucleotide small nuclear RNA is filed under the name Arabidopsis thaliana (thale cress). RNAcentral describes it as "snRNA_07914". Lineage: Eukaryota; Viridiplantae; Streptophyta; Magnoliopsida; Brassicales; Brassicaceae. The record is from RNAcentral.